Molecule: ribosomal RNA, 497 nt
Filed under: uncultured bacterium
Lineage: Bacteria
Description: partial 16S ribosomal RNA
Rfam family: Bacterial small subunit ribosomal RNA
Source: RNAcentral
GAUGAACGCUGGCGGCGUGCCUAAUACAUGCGAGUCGAGCGAACAGACGAGGAGCUUGCUCCUCUGACGUUAGCGGCGGACGGGUGAGUAACACGUGGAUAACCUACCUAUAAGACUGGGAUAACUUCGGGAAACCGGAGCUAAUACCGGAUAAUAUAUUGAACCGCUUGGUUCAAUAGUGAAAGACGGUUUUGCUGUCACUUAUAGAUGGAUCCGCGCCGCAUUAGCUAGUUGGUAAGGUAACGGCUUACCAAGGCGACGAUGCGUAGCCGACCUGAGAGGGUGAUCGGCCACACUGGAACUGAGACACGGUCCAGACUCCUACGGGAGGCAGCAGUAGGGAAUCUUCCGCAAUGGGCGAAAGCCUGACGGAGCAACGCCGCGUGAGUGAUGAAGGUCUUCGGAUCGUAAAACUCUGUUAUUAGGGAAGAACAAAUGUGUAAGUAACUAUGCACGUCUUGACGGUACCUAAUCAGAAAGCCACGGCUAACUACGUG